AGAGUUUGAUCAUGGCUCAGGACGAACGCUGGCGGCGUGCCUAAUACAUGCAAGUCGAACGCUUCUGCUUAGACCAGUGCUUGCACUAACUUAAGUUAGAAGAGUGGCGAACGGGUGAGUAACACGUGGGUAACCUGCCCAUCAGAGGGGGACAACACUUGGAAACAGGUGCUAAUACCGCAUAAUACUUGAAACCGCAUGGUUUCAAGUUGAAAGGCGCUUCUGGUGUCRCUGAUGGAUGGACCCGCGGUGCAUUAGCUAGACGGUGAGGUAACGGCUCACCGUGGCGAUGAUGCAUAGCCGACCUGAGAGGGUGAUCGGCCACAUUGGGACUGAGACACGGCCCAAACUCCUACGGGAGGCAGCAGUAGGGAAUCUUCGGCAAUGGACGCAAGUCUGACCGAGCAACGCCGCGUGAGUGAUGAAGGUUUUCGGAUCGUAAAACUCUGUUGUUAGAGAAGAACAAGAGAAGUAGUAACUGGCUUCUCCUUGACGGUAUCUAACCAGAAAGCCACGGCUAACUACGUGCCAGCAGCCGCGGUAAUACGUAGGUGGCAAGCGUUGUCCGGAUUUAUUGGGCGUAAAGCGAGCGCAGGCGGUCUUUUAAGUCUGAUGUGAAAGCCCACGGCUUAACCGUGGAGGGUCAUUGGAAACUGGGAGACUUGAGUGCAGAAGAGGAAAGUGGAACUCCAUGUGUAGCGGUGGAAUGCGUAGAUAUAUGGAAGAACACCAGUGGCGAAGGCGGCUUUCUGGUCUGUAACUGACGCUGAGGCUCGAAAGCGUGGGGAGCAAACAGGAUUAGAUACCCUGGUAGUCC
RNAcentral lists this ribosomal RNA (817 nucleotides) under uncultured bacterium. RNAcentral's name for it is "bacterial SSU rRNA". It matches the Rfam family "Bacterial small subunit ribosomal RNA", at positions 8 to 796 of the family's 1533-position model. The record is from RNAcentral.